This 343-nucleotide ribosomal RNA is filed under the name uncultured Glomeromycotina. RNAcentral describes it as "SSU rRNA". It matches the Rfam family "Eukaryotic small subunit ribosomal RNA", at positions 569 to 921 of the family's 1831-position model. Lineage: Eukaryota; Fungi; Glomeromycota. The record is from RNAcentral.
AGCAGCCGCGGUAAUUCCAGCUCCAAUAGCGUAUAUUAAAGUUGUUGCAGUUAAAAAGCUCGUAGUUGAAUUUUAGGCCUGGCCGGGCGGUCCGUCUUUGGCGAGUACUGUUCUGUGUCGGGUCUUACCUUCUGGUGAACCGGCAUGCUCUUUAUUGAGUGUAUCGGGGAGCCAGGACCAUUACCUUGAAAAAUUGAGUGUUUAAAGCGGGCAUUUGCUUGAAUAGAUUAGCAUGGAAUAAUAGAAUAGGACGUUGGUUCUAUUUUGUUGGUCUAGGACCACCGUAAUGAUUAAUAGGGAUAGUUGGGGGCAUUAGUAUUCAAUUGUCAGAGGUGAAAUUCUU